GUGGAUUAGAUACCCGGGUAGUCCACGCCGUAAACUAUGGAUGCUAGCUGUUAGAAGUAUCGACCCUUCUAGUAGCGAAGCUAACGCGUUAAGCAUCCCGCCUGUGGAGUACGGUCGCAAGACUAAAACAUAAAGGAAUUGACGGGGACCCGCACAAGCGGUGGAGCGUGUUGUUUAAUUCGAUGGUAAGCGAAGAACCUUACCCAGGCUUGACAUCCUGUGAAGGUCUCCGAAAGGAGACUGUGCCUUCGGGAAUACAGUGACAGGUGAUGCAUGGCCGUCGUCAACU
This 289-nucleotide ribosomal RNA is filed under the name uncultured bacterium. Its description in RNAcentral is "partial 16S ribosomal RNA". It matches the Rfam family "Bacterial small subunit ribosomal RNA", at positions 773 to 1060 of the family's 1533-position model. The record is from RNAcentral.